This 555-nucleotide ribosomal RNA is filed under the name uncultured bacterium. RNAcentral describes it as "partial 16S ribosomal RNA". It matches the Rfam family "Bacterial small subunit ribosomal RNA", at positions 355 to 900 of the family's 1533-position model. The record is from RNAcentral.
UAGGGAAUCUUCCACAAUGGACGCAAGUCUGAUGGAGCAACGCCGCGUGAGUGAAGAAGGUUUUCGGACCGUAAAGCUCUGUUGUUGGUGAAGAAGGAUAGAGGUAGUAACUGGCCUUUAUUUGACGGUAAUCAACCAGAAAGUCACGGCUAACUACGUGCCAGCAGCCGCGGUAAUACGUAGGUGGCAAGCGUUGUCCGGAUUUAUUGAGCGUAAAGCGAGCGCAGGCGGAAGAAUAAGUCUGAUGUGAAAGCCCUCGGCUUAACCGAGGAAUUGCAUCGGAAACUGUUUUUCUUGAGUGCAGAAGAGGAGAGUAGAACUCCAUGUGUAGCGGUGGAAUGCGUAGAUAUAUGGAAGAAUACCAGUGGCGAAGGCGGCUCUCUGGUCUGCAACUGACGCUGAGGCUCGAAAGCAUGGGUAGCGAACAGGAUUAGAUACCCUGGUAGUCCAUGCCGUAAACGAUGAGUGCUAAGUGUUGGGAGGCUUCCGCCUCUCAGUGCUGCAGCUAACGCAUUAAGCACUCCGCCUGGGGGAGUACGACCGCAAGGUUGAAAC